UGCUGCUUACAAUAAUCUGUAUCUAUAAUAAACUUGUAAACUUGGCCCUGCAGUUAAAAUAUUUUGUAAAAAUUUACAAAAUUAAUGAAAAUUGUUAAAAAUUGACUAUAAAGGUCAAUAUCUGCAUUUUGAUCAUGCUGACUUAUUUGUAGAUCUUACUUUGCUGAACACUAUUGCUGUUUACAGUUUAUCUGUAUCUAUAAUAAUAUUUAAGAUAAUAACCAAAAGCUGCAAAAUUUUCUUAAAAUUACCAAUUCAGGGGCAGCAACCCAACAACUGGUUGCUUAAUUGGUCUACAAAUUUAAGAGCAAAUAGAUCUUGACCUGAUUAACAAUUUUACUUGUGACAGAUUUGCUCUAAAUGCUUUGGUUUUAGAGAUAUAAGCCAAAAUCUUUAUUUUACCCCUAUAUUAUAUUUUUAGCCAUGGUGGCCAUCUUGGUUGGUUGGCUGGGUCACCGGGCACAUUUUUAAACUAGAUACACCAAUGAUGAUUGUGGCUAAGUUUGGUUAAAUCUGGUUCAGUAGUUUUAGAGGAGAAGAUUUUUUUUAAAGAUUACUAAAAUUUUAGAAAAAUGGUUAAAAAUUGACUAUAAAGGGCAAUUACUCCUUAAAGGGUCAACUGACAAUUUUGGUCAUGUUUGACUUAUUUGUAGAUCAUAAUUUGCUGAACAUUAUUGCUGUUUACAGUUUAUCUCUAUCUUAUAUUAUAUUCAAGAUAAUAGCCAAAAACUGAAAAAUUUCCUUAAAAUUACUAAUUUGGGGGCAGCAACCCAACAAUGGGUUGUCCAAUUUGUCUGAAAAUUUCAGUGUAGAUAGAUCUUGACCUGAUAACAAUUUUACACCUUGUCAGAUUUGCUCUAAAUGCUUUGGUUUCAGAGAUAUAAGUCAAAAUCUACAUUUUACCCUUAUGUUCUAUUUUUAGCCAUGGUGGCCAUCUUGGUUGGUUGGCCGGGUCAGUGGACACAUUUUUUAAAUUAAAUGCCCCAAUGAUGAUUGUGGCCAAGUUUGGUUAAAUUUUGCCCAGUAGUUUCAGAGGGGAAGAUUUUUGUAAAAGUUUACAGACGACGAACCCCAAGUGAUGAGAAAAGCUCACUUGGCCCUUCAGGCUAGGUGAGCUAAAAAAAGAAAGCUUACAAGAGUGGACACACUGAUACCUUUUUCAGUGUUCAAUAUUGACUAGUGUUGAAGUUAAAAAAGAAUAAUAUUACACUAGGAGUAAUACAUAAUUAAAUUAUCAUUC
RNAcentral lists this long non-coding RNA (1240 nucleotides) under Mytilus galloprovincialis (Mediterranean mussel). Lineage: Eukaryota; Metazoa; Mollusca; Bivalvia; Mytilida; Mytilidae. The record is from RNAcentral.